CUGCAUGUGUGUUUUGAUGAACGUUUGAGUUUUAACGAGUGCUAUUAGCAUUUGGCGUAGCGCAUUUGCAUUUGCUGAUGGCUAGAUGAGACGUCUGCGUCUCGGGUCGACGCAAGAGGUUUUAAUAUAAUUUAACAGCAGGGGGCAGUACUAUAAUUUAAUUAUACCCAUUAGAUUAGAAACGGGUUGGGCAACUGGUGGUAUUUUACAGGAUAUUUUCUACCUGCAGGCUGCAAUGGUUUUUAUGUCUUGGCUUUAUGUCGGGUAUUUUUUUUUUUUUACGUAGUUGGCAACGGCAGUAAAAUGAACUUUUAGAUUUGUGUAGUUUUAAUUUAGAUUUAGAAUAUAGAUUAACAACAGACUAUGAGAUACAAAGACUAGUAUAAAUGGAAGGAAACAGUUCUACGGAAAUGGUAACCAUAACCGGUAGGUAGAUCGGUAGAAAUGGUAACCAUAACCGGUAGGUAGAUCGGUAGAAAUGGUAACCAUAACCGGUAGGUAGAUCGGUAGAAAUGGUAACCAUAACCGGUAGGUAGAUCGGUAGAAAUGGUAACCAUAACCGGUAGGUAGAUUGGUAGAAAUGGUAAGAUACAUUUCCAAAUGGAAAAGGUUGUCUUUUUCCGGUAACUUCGGG
Molecule: long non-coding RNA, 634 nt
Organism: Oncorhynchus tshawytscha (Chinook salmon)
Lineage: Eukaryota; Metazoa; Chordata; Actinopteri; Salmoniformes; Salmonidae
Source: Ensembl